UGGUGCCGGCCAGAGGACUUGAACCCCCAACCUACUGAUUACAAGUCAGUUGCUCUACCAGUUGAGCUAGGCCGGC
Molecule: transfer RNA, 76 nt
Filed under: Staphylococcus saprophyticus subsp. saprophyticus KACC 16562
Lineage: Bacteria; Bacillati; Bacillota; Bacilli; Caryophanales; Staphylococcaceae
Description: tRNA-Thr
Source: RNAcentral